AUGCGGAGGAUCCGAGCGUUAUCCGGAUUUAUUGGGUUUAAAGGGUGCGCAGGCGGCCAUUUAAGUCAGCGGUUAAAUCGUGGGGCUCCACCCCAUUCUGCCGUUGAUACUGGGUGGCUUGAUUGCGGUCGAGGUUGGCGGAAUUCGUUGUGUAGCGGUGAAAUGCAUAGAUAUGACGAAGAACACCGAUUGCGUAGGCAGCUGACCAGACCGCAAAUGACGCUCAUGCACGAAAGUGCGGGGAUCGAGCAGGAUUAGAUACCCUGGUAGUCCGCACAGUAAACGAUGAAUACUUGUUUUCGGCGAUAUAAUGUCGGAGGCAAAGCGAAAGCGAUAAGUAUUCCACCUGGGGAGUACGCCGGCAACGGUGAAACUCAAAUGAAUUGGCGGGG
RNAcentral lists this ribosomal RNA (392 nucleotides) under uncultured bacterium. RNAcentral's name for it is "partial 16S ribosomal RNA". It matches the Rfam family "Bacterial small subunit ribosomal RNA", at positions 523 to 918 of the family's 1533-position model. The record is from RNAcentral.